RNAcentral lists this ribosomal RNA (504 nucleotides) under uncultured bacterium. Its description in RNAcentral is "bacterial SSU rRNA". It matches the Rfam family "Bacterial small subunit ribosomal RNA", at positions 28 to 530 of the family's 1533-position model. The record is from RNAcentral.
GACGAACGCUGGCGGCGUGCCUAAUACAUGCAAGUCGAGCGGGGAUUAUGCUUGAUCGCUUCGGUGAGACGGCAUAUAUCCUAGCGGCGGACGGGUGAGUAACGCGUGGGUAAUCUACCUCGUAGUUCGGGAUAACAGGCCGAAAGGCUUGCUAAUAUCGGAUGAGUUCAUGCUUAUGCAUAUAGGCAUGAAGAAAGGGCUAGCCCGCUAUGAGAUGAGCCCGCGUCCCAUUAGCUUGUUGGUGGGGUAAUGGCCUACCAAGGCAACGAUGGGUAGCCGGCCUGAGAGGGUGACCGGCCACACUGGGACUGAGACACGGCCCAGACUCCUACGGGAGGCAGCAGUAGGGAAUUUUCGGCAAUGGGGGAAACCCUGACCGAGCAACGCCGCGUGGGGGAAGAAGGCCUUCGGGUCGUAACCUCUGUCUUUGGGACGAUAAUGACGGUACCCGAGGAGGAAGCCCCGGCUAACUACGUGCCAGCACGCCGCGGUAAAGUACUCUAU